AUUGAACGCUGGCGGCAUGCCUUACACAUGCAAGUCGAACGGCAGCACGGGAGCAAUCCUGGUGGCGAGUGGCGAACGGGUGAGUAAAGUAUCGGAACGUGCCCAGUCGUGGGGGAUAACGUAGCGAAAGUUACGCUAAUACCGCAUACGAACUACGGAUGAAAGCGGGGGAUCGCAAGCCCUCGCGCGAUUGGAGCGGCCGAUAUCAGAUAAGGUAGUCGGUGGGGUAAAGGCUCACCAAGCCGACGACCUGUAGCUGGUCUGAGGGGACGACCAGCCACACUGGGACUGAGACACGGCCCAGACUCCUACGGGAGGCAGCGGUGGGGAAUUUUGGACAAUGGGCGAAAGCCUGAUCCAGCAAUGCCGCGUGCAGGAUGAAGGCCUUCGGGUUGUAAACUGCUUUUGUACGGAACGAAAAGGUUUGGCCUAAUAAGCUGAGCUCAUGACGGUACCGUAAGAAUAAGCACCGGCUAACUACGUGCCAGCAGCCGCCGUAA
RNAcentral lists this ribosomal RNA (500 nucleotides) under uncultured bacterium. Its description in RNAcentral is "partial 16S ribosomal RNA". It matches the Rfam family "Bacterial small subunit ribosomal RNA", at positions 29 to 523 of the family's 1533-position model. The record is from RNAcentral.